This 439-nucleotide ribosomal RNA is filed under the name uncultured bacterium. RNAcentral's name for it is "partial 16S ribosomal RNA". It matches the Rfam family "Bacterial small subunit ribosomal RNA", at positions 338 to 795 of the family's 1533-position model. The record is from RNAcentral.
CCUACGGGAGGCAGCAGUGGGGAAUAUUGCACAAUGGGGGAAACCCUGAUGCAGCGACGCCGCGUGAGCGAAGAAGUAUUUCGGUAUGUAAAGCUCUAUCAGCAGGGAAGAAAAUGACGGUACCUGAGUAAGAAGCUCCGGCUAAAUACGUGCCAGCAGCCGCGGUAAUACGUAUGGAGCAAGCGUUAUCCGGAUUUAUUGGGUUUAAAGGGUGCGUAGGCGGACAGUCAAGUCAGCGGUAAAAAUGCGGUGCUCAACGCCGUACAGCCGUUGAAACUGGCAGUCUUGAGUGGGCGAGAAGUAUGCGGAAUGCGUGGUGUAGCGGUGAAAUGCAUAGAUAUCACGCAGAACUCCGAUUGCGAAGGCAGCAUACCGGCGCCCGACUGACGCUGAGGCACGAAAGCGUGGGUAUCGAACAGGAUUAGAUACCCCAGUAGUC